Molecule: ribosomal RNA, 428 nt
Filed under: uncultured Chlamydiae bacterium
Lineage: Bacteria; Pseudomonadati; Chlamydiota; Chlamydiia
Description: bacterial SSU rRNA
Rfam family: Bacterial small subunit ribosomal RNA
Source: RNAcentral
AACGCGAAGAACCUUACCUGGGCUCGAAAUGUAGAGGACGAUAUCAGAGAUGAUAUUUCUCGAAAGGGUCUCUAUAUAGGUGCUGCAUGGCUGUCGUCAGCUCGUGCCGUGAGGUGUUUGGUUAAGUCCAGCAACGAGCGCAACCCUUAUCGUUAGUUGCCAGCGCGUAAAGGCGGGAACUCUAACGAGACUGCCUGGGUUAACCAGGAGGAAGGUGAGGAUGACGUCAAGUCCGCAUGGCCUUUAUGUCCAGGGCUACACACGUGCUACAAUGGUCGGUACAGAAGGCAGCGAAACCGCAAGGCGAAGCAAAUCCUGAAAAACCGAUCUCAGUUCGGAUUGUAGUCUGCAACUCGGCUACAUGAAGUUGGAAUUGCUAGUAAUGGCGUGUCAGCAACAACGCCGUGAAUACGUUCCCGGGCCUUGUA